This 1466-nucleotide ribosomal RNA is filed under the name uncultured organism. RNAcentral describes it as "bacterial SSU rRNA". It matches the Rfam family "Bacterial small subunit ribosomal RNA". The record is from RNAcentral.
GCUCAGAACGAACGCUAGCGGCGCGUUUCAGGCAUGCAAGUCGAACGGUAACAGGGGAGUUCGCUCCCGCUGACGAGUGGCGCACGGGUGAGUAACGCGUAGGUAAGCUACCCUAAGGUUUGGGAUAGCCUUACGAAAGUAAGAUUAAUACCGUAUAUGGUGGUAACUACACAAGUAGUAAUCAUUAAAGCUCCGGCUCCUUAGGAUGUGCCUGCGUUGGAUUAGUUAGUUGGUGAGGUAACGGCUCACCAAGACUCCGAUCCAUAGCCGAGCUAAGAGGCUGAUCGGCCACAUUGGAACUGAGACACGGUCCAGACUCCUACGGGAGGCAGCAGCUAAGAAUCUUCCGCAAUGGUCGCAAGACUGACGGAGCGACGCCGCGUGAACGAUGAAGGCCUUACAGGUUGUAAAGUUCUUUUAUAGAGGAUGAAUGUAUGACGUAGGUCAUAUUGACAGUACUCUUUGAAUAAGGUCCGGCUAACUACGUGCCAGCAGCCGCGGUAAUACGUAGGGACCAAGCGUUGUUCGGAAUUACUGGGCGUAAAGGGUACGCAGGCGGUUUGAUAAGUCAGAUGUGAAAUCCCUUGGCUUAACCUUGGGGCUGCGUCUGAUACUGUCGGACUAGAGUUACUGAGAGGAAGGCGGAAUUCCUGGUGUAGGGGUGAAAUCUAUAGAUAUCAGGAAGAACACCUAUUGCGAAGGCUGCCUUCUGGCAGUUAACUGACGCUGAGGUACGAAAGGUAGGGUAGCAAACAGGAUUAGAGACCCUGGUAGUCCUACCUGUAAACGUUGUAUACUAGGUGGUGGAAGCAUUGACCUUUCACUGCCGGAGCUAACGCAUUAGGUAUACCGCCUGGGGAGUAUGCCGGCAACGGUGAAACUCAAAGGAAUUGACGGGGGCCCGCACAAGCAGUGGAGCAUGUUGUUUAAUUCGACGAUACGCGAGAAACCUUACCAAGUCUUGACAUAUACUUGACGCACAUAGAAAUAUGUGUUCCCUUCGGGGCAGGUAUACAGGUGCUGCAUGGUUGUCGUCAGCUCGUGCCGUGAGGUGUUGGGUUAAGUCCCGCAACGAGCGCAACCCCUAUUCUUUGUUGCUAACAGGUCAAGCUGAGCACUCGAAGGAAACUGCCAGUGACAAACUGGAGGAAGGUGGGGAUGAGGUCAAAUCAUCACGGCCCUUAUGACUUGGGCUACAAACGUGCUACAAUGGGUGGUACAGUGAGUCGCUAAACCGCGAGGUGGAGCUAAUCUCAAAAAACCAUCCUCAGUUCGGAUUGGAGUCUGAAACCCGACUCCAUGAAGCUGGAAUUGCUAGUAAUCGCUCAUCAGAAUGGAGCGGUGAUACGUUCCCGGGCCUUGUACACACCGCCCGUCACAUCAUCCGAGUUAAUUAUACCCNGAAGUAUCCGAGCUAACCCUCGUGGAGGCAGGGUCCGAAGGUAUGGUCGGCAAGGAGGAUGAAG